GCUUACGGCCCAUACCUCUCUGGCUCCGCCUGAUCUCGUCUGAUCUCAGAAAGCUAAGCAGAGUAGGGCCUGGUUAGUACUUGGAUGGAAGACCGCCUGGGAAUCCCAGGUGCCGUAAGCU
This is a ribosomal RNA of Gasterosteus aculeatus aculeatus (three-spined stickleback), 121 nucleotides long. Lineage: Eukaryota; Metazoa; Chordata; Actinopteri; Perciformes; Gasterosteidae. The record is from Ensembl.